RNAcentral lists this ribosomal RNA (395 nucleotides) under uncultured bacterium. RNAcentral's name for it is "bacterial SSU rRNA". It matches the Rfam family "Bacterial small subunit ribosomal RNA", at positions 28 to 428 of the family's 1533-position model. The record is from RNAcentral.
GACGAACGCUGGCGGCGUGCUUAACACAUGCAAGUCGAGCGGUAAGGCCCUUUCGGGGGUACACGAGCGGCGAACGGGUGAGUAACACGUGGGUGACCUGCCCUCAGCUCUGGGAUAAGCCUGGGAAACCGGGUCUAAUACCGGAUAUGACUCCAUGACGCAUGUUGUGGGGUGGAAAGCCUUGUGCGGCUGAGGAUGGGCCCGCGGCCUAUCAGCUUGUUGGUGGGGUGAUGGCCUACCAAGGCGACGACGGGUAGCCGGCCUGAGAGGGCGACCGGCCACACUGGGAUUGAGACACGGCCCAGACUCCUACGGGAGGCAGCAGUGGGGAAUCUUGCGCAAUGGGCGAAAGCCUGACGCAGCGACGCCGCGUGAGGGAUGACGGCCUGGUGUAA